This 248-nucleotide ribosomal RNA is filed under the name uncultured bacterium. RNAcentral's name for it is "partial 16S ribosomal RNA". It matches the Rfam family "Bacterial small subunit ribosomal RNA", at positions 524 to 769 of the family's 1533-position model. The record is from RNAcentral.
UACGUAGGGUGCAAGCGUUGUCCGGAAUUAUUGGGCGUAAAGAGCUCGUAGGCGGUCCGUCACGUCGGCUGUGAAAACCUGGGGCUCAACCCCGGGCCUGCAGCCGAUACGGGCGGACUAGAAUUCGGUAGGGGAGACGUGGAAUUCCUGGUGUAGCGGUGAAAUUCGUAGAUAUUAGGAGGAACACCCGUGGCGAAAGCGGCCAUCUGGAUCACAAUUGACGCUGAUGUACGAAAGCGGUGGGUAGC